UGGGCGAAUUGAAUUUAGCGGCCGCGAAUUCGCCCUUAGAGUUUGAUCAUGGCUCAGGAUGAACGCUAGCGGUUUGCCUGACACAUGCAAGUUGCACGGCGCCAUGCCUCUCGAGGAAUGGCGGAGUGGCGGACGGGUGAGGAACGCGUAAGGACCUGCCCCUGGGAGGGGGAUAACAGCUGGAAACGGCUGCUAAUACCCCAUAUCCUGAGGAGGGAAAGGAGAGAUCCGCCCAGGGAGGGGCUUGCGUCUGAUUAGCUAGUUGGGGGGGUAAUGGCCUCCCAAGGCAACGAUCAGUUGCUGGUCUGAGAGGAUGAUCAGCCACACUGGGACUGAGACACGGCCCAGACUCCUACGGGAGGCAGCAGUGAGGAAUCUUCCGCAAUGGGCGAAAGCCUGACGGGGCAAUGCCGCGUGGAGGAUGAAGGCCCAAUGGGUCGUAAACUUCUUUAGAUCAGAGACGAAGAGAUGACGGUACCUGAAGAACUAAGCAUCGGCUAAACCCCGUGCCAGCAGCCGCGGUAAGACGGGGGAUGCGAGCGUUAUCCGGAAUGAUUGGGCGUAAAGGGUCCGCAGGUGGCCCGGUCAGUCCGCUGUCAAAACCUGGGGCUCAACCCUGGAGAGGCGGCGGAGACCACCGGGCUUGAGUCCGGUAGGGGCAGAGGGAAUUCCCGGUGGAGCGGUGAAAUGCGUAGAGAUCGGGAAGAACGCCAAGGGCGAAGGCACUCUGCUAGGCCUGAUUUCGCGACUGACACUCAGGGACGAGAGCCAGGGGAGCGAAUGGGAUUAGAUACCCCAGUAGUCCUGGCCGUAAACGAUGGAUACCAAGCCCUGCGCGUAUCGACCCGGGCAGGGCUGUAGCUAACGCA
RNAcentral lists this ribosomal RNA (869 nucleotides) under Pinus environmental sample. Its description in RNAcentral is "partial 16S ribosomal RNA". It matches the Rfam family "Bacterial small subunit ribosomal RNA", at positions 1 to 859 of the family's 1533-position model. The record is from RNAcentral. Lineage: Eukaryota; Viridiplantae; Streptophyta; Pinopsida; Pinales; Pinaceae.